GGGCUCAUGGUGAAGCGGUAUCACACAUCCAUGGCAUGGAUGGGUUCGGGGUUCGACUCCCCGUGAGUCCA
Molecule: transfer RNA, 71 nt
Filed under: bacterium
Lineage: Bacteria
Description: tRNA-Ala
Rfam family: tRNA
About the family: Transfer RNA (tRNA) molecules are approximately 80 nucleotides in length.
Source: RNAcentral